GUUACAUGUUAUUCCUGAUGUUCUCUUUGAUAGGUCAUUCCAACUUGGAAUAUCUCACCAAUUAAGAAGGCCAAUGAAAUUAAGCAGCCUCCACAGUUUGUGGAUAUUCACCUUGAAGAAGAUGAUUCCUCAGACGAGGAGUACCAGCCAGAUGAAGAGGAGGAGGAUGAGACAGCUGAAGAGAGCUUAUUGGAAAGUGAUGUUGAAAGCACUGCCUCGUCUCCACGUGGAGUGAAGAGAUCCAGACUGCGAGCGUCUUCUGAAGUGGCUGAGACAGACGAGGAGAGUGGCAUGUUGUCAGAGGUUGAGAAAGUCACCACACCUGCUGUGAGGCACAUCAGUGCUGAAGUAGUGCCCAUGGGGCCCCCACCGCCUCCUAAACCGAAGCAGACCCGGGAUAGUGCUUUCAUGGAGAAGUUAAAUGCAGUAGAUGAGGAGCUGGCUUCUAGUCCUGUCUGCAUGGAUUCUUUCCAGGUGAGCAUCGGGACUCUGA
Peromyscus maniculatus bairdii (prairie deer mouse) is the source of this 493-nucleotide non-coding RNA. The record is from RefSeq and is a predicted model, not a curated record. Lineage: Eukaryota; Metazoa; Chordata; Mammalia; Rodentia; Cricetidae.